This 329-nucleotide ribosomal RNA is filed under the name Cercomonas sp. Its description in RNAcentral is "SSU rRNA". The stretch from base 53 to 329 matches the Rfam family "Eukaryotic small subunit ribosomal RNA", at positions 678 to 955 of the family's 1831-position model. The record is from RNAcentral. Lineage: Eukaryota; Cercozoa; Cercomonadida; Cercomonadidae.
GAUUUCUGGCGUGGUGUGACUGGCCCGCCGUGGUUACACGUGUGAGCGCCGGUUUUUUACACCUGCCAUUCUUCUAGAGUACCCAACUGCCCUUCACUGGUGUGUGUUGGGUCUAUUCUAGAUCUUUUACUUUGAAAAAAUUAGAGUGUUUAAAGCAGGCAUUUUGCUGUGAAUACAUUAGCAUGGAAUAAUAAUUUAGGACUUCGGCCCUAUUUUGUUGGCUUUCAGGACUGAAGUAAUGAUUGAUAGGGAUAGUUGGGGGUGCUAGUAUUCAGCGGCCAGAGGUGAAAUUCUUGGAUUCGCUGAAGACUAACUUAUGCGAAAGCAUU